UUGAGCUCUACAUUAUCAUGCAUGCAACUCAUUAGGCAUCUGCAGGAUUAUAAUUCCAAGUUUCCUGAAUAAAAACCCUAAGUCUAGCUAUUUCCUUUUAAGCACCAAAACCUCAACCAAUCAAUCGAGCAAUCAAUUGGUCAACAAAACUGCAAAUUUACAUUUUAAUCAUUAAAUCUCUUUAGAUUUAUUAAGUUUCCUAGCUCCUUGUGGAUUCGAUCCCUAAAUACUGCAAUUGAACCUCUUAUUUGAGAGAGUAAAUUCGCUCUUUAGGGUAAUUUUAGUGAUAUCAAAUUUGGCACCGUUGCCGGGGAGGUUUGGUUGCCUAUUUGAUUUAAUUUUGUUAAGUUUCUGACAUUAAAUUUUUUCUUGGAUUUUCAGGUAUAUGCCCAGCAGUACCAGAAGCAACAAGGAAACUCAACUGCUAUUCUCACAAGAUCCUGUAAAUUUGGAGCGUUCAAGUACGCAAAGAAGCAGACUCCUCAUCGAUUGACAACAAC
This 500-nucleotide long non-coding RNA is filed under the name Brassica napus (rape). RNAcentral's name for it is "long non-coding RNA (BNAP_LNC025826)". Lineage: Eukaryota; Viridiplantae; Streptophyta; Magnoliopsida; Brassicales; Brassicaceae. The record is from RNAcentral.